This 887-nucleotide ribosomal RNA is filed under the name Bacillus stratosphericus. RNAcentral describes it as "bacterial SSU rRNA". It matches the Rfam family "Bacterial small subunit ribosomal RNA", at positions 59 to 931 of the family's 1533-position model. Lineage: Bacteria; Bacillati; Bacillota; Bacilli; Caryophanales; Bacillaceae. The record is from RNAcentral.
AAGUCGAGCGGACAGAAGGGAGCUUGCUCCCGGAUGUUAGCGGCGGACGGGUGAGUAACACGUGGGUAACCUGCCUGUAAGACUGGGAUAACUCCGGGAAACCGGAGCUAAUACCGGAUAGUUCCUUGAACCGCAUGGUUCAAGGAUGAAAGACGGUUUCGGCUGUCACUUACAGAUGGACCCGCGGCGCAUUAGCUAGUUGGUGAGGUAACGGCUCACCAAGGCGACGAUGCGUAGCCGACCUGAGAGGGUGAUCGGCCACACUGGGACUGAGACACGGCCCAGACUCCUACGGGAGGCAGCAGUAGGGAAUCUUCCGCAAUGGACGAAAGUCUGACGGAGCAACGCCGCGUGAGUGAUGAAGGUUUUCGGAUCGUAAAGCUCUGUUGUUAGGGAAGAACAAGUGCAAGAGUAACUGCUUGCACCUUGACGGUACCUAACCAGAAAGCCACGGCUAACUACGUGCCAGCAGCCGCGGUAAUACGUAGGUGGCAAGCGUUGUCCGGAAUUAUUGGGCGUAAAGGGCUCGCAGGCGGUUUCUUAAGUCUGAUGUGAAAGCCCCCGGCUCAACCGGGGAGGGUCAUUGGAAACUGGGAAACUUGAGUGCAGAAGAGGAGAGUGGAAUUCCACGUGUAGCGGUGAAAUGCGUAGAGAUGUGGAGGAACACCAGUGGCGAGGCGACUCUCUGGUCUGUAACUGACGCUGAGGAGCGAAAGCGUGGGGAGCGAACAGGAUUAGAUACCCUGGUAGUCCACGCCGUAAACGAUGAGUGCUAAGUGUUAGGGGGGUUUCCGCCCCUUAGUGCUGCAGCUAACGCAUUAAGCACUCCCGCCUGGGGAGGUACGGUCGCAAGAACUGAACUCAAGGAUGACCGGGCCCGCACAGCG